Long non-coding RNA from Melanaphis sacchari, 151 nucleotides. RefSeq lists it as uncharacterized. The transcript has 2 exons. The record is from RefSeq and is a predicted model, not a curated record. Lineage: Eukaryota; Metazoa; Arthropoda; Insecta; Hemiptera; Aphididae.
AAAAUUAAUUAUGUUUAUGUCUAUCUCGACAGGUACUUUCAUUAUAUCAUUUUAGUUGAUAUAUGAGUGUUUAAAAGAUAUAUUAUUUAAUAUACCCUCGCCAGUACGUUCAAAUUUAUGUAAAAUCUAAACACGAUAAACAAGGGAAAAA